RNAcentral lists this ribosomal RNA (613 nucleotides) under uncultured bacterium. Its description in RNAcentral is "bacterial SSU rRNA". It matches the Rfam family "Bacterial small subunit ribosomal RNA", at positions 28 to 638 of the family's 1533-position model. The record is from RNAcentral.
GAUGAACGCUAGCGGCAGGCCUAAUACAUGCAAGUCGGACGGGAUUGGAGAGCUUGCUUUCCAUGAGAGUGGCGCACGGGUGCGUAACACGUAUGUAACCUACCCUUAUCAGGGGGAUAGCCUCUCGAAAGAGAGAUUAAGCCCGCAUAACAUGAAGACACAGCAUUGUGAUUUCAUCAAAUAUUUAUAGGAUAAGGAUGGGCAUGCGGAACAUUAGCUAGUUGGUAAGGUAACGGCUUACCAAGGCUACGAUGUUUAGGGGAUCUGAGAGGAUGACCCCCCACACUGGUACUGAGACACGGACCAGACUCCUACGGGAGGCAGCAGUAAGGAAUAUUGGUCAAUGGGCGGAAGCCUGAACCAGCCAUGCCGCGUGCAGGAAGACGGCCCUACGGGUUGUAAACUGCUUUUGCAGGGGAAUAAACCCCCGUAUGUAUACGGGGUUGAAUGUACUCUGAGAAUAAGGAUCGGCUAACUCCGUGCCAGCAGCCGCGGUAAUACGGAGGAUCCGAGCGUUAUCCGGAUUUAUUGGGUUUAAAGGGUGCGUAGGCGGCUUAUUAAGUCAGGGGUGAAAGACGGUAGCUUAACUAUCGCAGUGCCCUUGAUACUGAUG